RNAcentral lists this ribosomal RNA (253 nucleotides) under uncultured bacterium. RNAcentral's name for it is "partial 16S ribosomal RNA". It matches the Rfam family "Bacterial small subunit ribosomal RNA", at positions 524 to 776 of the family's 1533-position model. The record is from RNAcentral.
GACGAACCGAGCGAACGUUAUUCGGAAUCACUGGGCUUAAAGGGCGCGUAGGCGGCUUGCCAAGUCAGGGGUGAAAUCCUCCGGCUUAACCGGAGAAGUGCUUUUGAUACUGGCGAGCUUGAGGGAGGUAGGGGCAGGCGGAACUUCCGGUGGAGCGGUGAAAUGCGUAGAUAUCCGGAGGAACACCGGUGGCGAAGGCGGCUUCCUGGACCGACACUGACGCUGAGGCGCGAAAGCUAGGGGAGCAAACGGG